Molecule: long non-coding RNA, 375 nt
Organism: Puntigrus tetrazona (Sumatra barb)
Lineage: Eukaryota; Metazoa; Chordata; Actinopteri; Cypriniformes; Cyprinidae
Exons: 2
Source: RefSeq, a predicted model, not a curated record
AGAGAACAGAGUGACCAGCUGCCGCUUGGCGAAGAACUCGUACCCGUCCUCCACCACCUGACGCACACAGGAACAGGAAGUUCAACUCAUAUCGGAAACAUUAAACCAAACAAAAACGAAGAACACACACAGACUCAGAGUCCUGCUGCCAUCUAAUGAGGGACACGUGGAACUGCGUCCAAACUACAUUCUACAGAGAGCUUCGAUUUGGAACAACUUGGAUUUAUGGCUUUGAUUUUCGAGCGGAUUUAGAGUUCAGUGUGUUUCAGAAAAGAUAUAUUUCUGUAAUUAGGAAAUCGUGUAUUAAUUGCUUCCUCGUUUUGGUUAAAGCCUGUGUUAUUUCAAGAAAAACUAAUUAAACCUGGUAUUUCCCGU